CCUACGGGAGGCUGCAGUGGGGAAUAUUGCACAAUGGGGGAAACCCUGAUGCAGCGACGCCGCGUGAGUGAAGAAGUCCUUCGGUACGUAAAGCUCUGUCUUCAGGGAAGAAAAUGACGGUACCUGAGGAAGAAGCCACGGCUAACUACGUGCCAGCAGCCGCGGUAAUACGUAGGGGGCGAGCGUUGUCCGGAUUUACUGGGCGUAAAGGGAGCGUAGACGGACGUUUAAGUGAGGUGUGAAAUGCUGGGGCUCAACUGCGGUACUGCAUUUGAAACUGGAAGACUAGAGUGCAGGAGAGGAGAGUGGAAUUCCUAGUGUAGCGGUGAAAUGCGUAGAGAUUAGGAAGAACACCAGUGGCGAAGGCGAUUUACUGGACUGUAACUGACGCUGAGGCUCGAAAGCGUGGGGAGCAAACAGGAUUAGAUACCCCGGUAGUC
This 440-nucleotide ribosomal RNA is filed under the name uncultured bacterium. RNAcentral describes it as "partial 16S ribosomal RNA". It matches the Rfam family "Bacterial small subunit ribosomal RNA", at positions 338 to 795 of the family's 1533-position model. The record is from RNAcentral.